ACAGGGACGUAAACAAAUUAGUGCACUACAUUUGAGAGAAAUAAGCUUUUGAUACGUAUGGAACCUUUCUGAGAUCAUUUAUUUCAGUUCAUGAAACAUGGGACCAACACUUUACAUGUUGCGUUUAUAUUUUUGUUCAACAUAUGUAGCUCGUGAAUGGCCUCACAUUCCAGUAGGUGGCGGUGUAUGCAUCUUAAAUUGGGUGCGAUCCGCCAACACAAUCCCAAAGAAGAAGUCUUUUUGUCAUUGAGGCGGCAUGCUAGCAAAGUAGAGCUCAUUUUCAACUUUUGUUAAAACCCUACAUGCGUAUAUGUUUUGAGGAAAGGAGAUGAUUCGCAUGGAUGGAAAUGACCGAGACACAUUGAUGAACAUGUGGUUCAGCAUAUCUCAACGAGUCGGUUGUCCUUGGAAGUCAAGAGAUGCAUGCUGACAAUAGUACACACUUCUGUGGAGCCAAGAUCAUGGAUCCCUCUCACCUCUGCUGUAAUUGGCCUACUGGUGGUUCAGGAUAUUUUAACAAGUCAAUGUCCUUGAAGUCACAUGAUGGGAGCCAUUGAGACCAGAUGCAUGAUGACAAUGAAGUGGCAAAGCAUAGAAAUAGGAUGACAUAGAUUCUAUUUCCGUGGCUCCAAGAUCCAUGGAUCCCUCUCACCUCUGCUGUAAUUGGCCUACCUGUGGGUCGGCAUCUCAUCGUGCCCGAUGUCCUUGAUGAACUCGCAUGAUGGGUCGUCUGUUGAGACCAGAUGCAUGAUGACAAUGAAGGGGCAAAGCAUAGAAAUAUAUUAUCACAUUCGAUUUCUGUUAGAAAUGGGUUCCUCUCACCGCUGCUGUAAUUAGCCUACUGGUGGUUCAGGAUAUUUUAACAAGUCAAUGUCCUUGAAGUCAGGUGCGGCAUUGAGACCAGAUGCAUGAAGGGCCAAAGCAUAGAAAUAGAAUGACAGAUUCUAUUUCCGUGUCGCCAACAUCCAUGGAUCCCUCUCACCUCUGUUGUAAUUGGCCUACCUGGCUUAACCAAGACAAACACGGACGACCCUGGGCCAAUCGUGCUCCUCCAUAUGGGACUCUCAAUCACGGCCGGAUGUGAUACAGCCUGGAUUCGAACCAAGGACUGUAGUGACGCUUCUUGCAUUGAGUGCCUUAGACCGCUGUGUGUGUGUAACUAUUUAACUGUACUAGAAUGCUUAAAAGCCCCCUAAAAUGCUUAUCUGUAUUUAUUAAUUUAAAAAAAUGGCAAGGAAAAUAUUGGAUAUCGGCAAAUUGUCAUCGGUGCAUCACUAAUGAGAGCUACUAAAACAAUUAUUUAUUUUUUAUAGCGUUCAAAUUGGCACAUUAUUCUCCUCUGCAACUCUUCCACGGGAUUUGUUGAUAACUGGUCAAAUAAUGGGUCAUGAAGGUAUUUUUAAAAAUGUUACACUCAAUAGGCUUAUUAGAAAUGUGCAUUGAAGUUAUCAAUGUCAAUGUUUAAAUCAGAUAAAAUGAGGUCUGGUGGAAACUAACACAUUUGAGUUGAAUUCUCCUUUAACUAUGCAUUAAGCAAGAAAGGAAUGUCAGUCUAGCUAUGUUUCUGCUGUUAGGCCUGCUGCAGCACAGUUUGCAAAUCAAUGGCAACCCAAUUGAUACUACAAAUCAUAUCUCUUUGUCAGGUAAGCCUACUAUGCAGUUACCAUUUUAAUUGGUUUUGGGGGAAAGUCUGCCUACCCAGAAGACGGCUAUCAUUAGCGCGCGUCUACCCGCAAGACGGCUAUCAUUAGCGUGCGUCUACCCGCAAGACGGCUAUCAUUAGCGCGCGUCUACCCGCAAGACUGCUAUCAUUAGCGCGCGUCUACCCGCAAGACGGCUAUCAUUGGCGCGCGUCUACCCGCAAGACGGCUAUCAUUGGCGGGCGUCUACCCGCAAGGCGGCUAUCAUUGGCGCGCGUCUACCCGCAAGGCGGCUAUCAUUGGCGCGCGUCUACCCGCAAGGCGGCUAUCAUUGGCGCGCGUCUACCCGCAAGGCGGCUAUCAUUGGCGCGCGUCUACCCGCAAGGCGGCUAUCAUUGGCGCGCGUCUACCCGCAAGGCGGCUAUUCGCAUCCCUAACUGGAUAUAUACGGAGUGCUAGACAAAUGCGCACACCAAACAGACAGACUGGGGCAAUAUUGCUGGAAAUGAAUUGGCAGCUAUUGUUACGUUUGUCUUUUUAAGCCGAUGGUUGCUACCCAGGGGUGGGAUAAUGUCAAUGUGGUGUUGAUUGGAUAGCAGCCGGGAGCUUUGUUUAUGACCGUUUGCGAUAGAACGCAAAAAAAUAAAAGCAGUGAAGGAGCAGAAUCAAACUAACUGUUGAUGUUUUGACUGAUGUAUAUUCAUAGAACUAGAUUAAAUGUUAUGUAUAGUGGUGUAUUGUCAUCACGAUAACCAUUUGUCAAAGAUUCAGUGAUGUAUGUUAUUAUCCACUUCCUGUAGCAAGCAACAAUGUAGCAAGCAACAAACGCUACAACCAUGAAAAAUGUGUUCAUGACAGAAUGACCUUGCAGGGGGCUCUGUAACAACUUGACUCUCAGCCAAGACCAUAUCACAUUUGUGUGACUGUAUUUCUGGAACAUGCUGUUCUCUUGGUGUAAACUAAUGUGGCAUGAUGUCAGAACUGUAGUUUUGCUGUACAAUUGUUCAUGACUCAUCAAUAAAACUAGUAAACAAA
This is a long non-coding RNA of Oncorhynchus nerka (sockeye salmon), 2675 nucleotides long. RefSeq lists it as uncharacterized. NCBI's taxonomy places the organism in Eukaryota, Metazoa, Chordata, Actinopteri, Salmoniformes, Salmonidae. The record is from RefSeq and is a predicted model, not a curated record. The transcript is spliced from 6 exons.